CUACGGGCUGCAGCAGUGGGGAAUAUUGCACAAUGGGCGCAAGCCUGAUGCAGCCAUGCCGCGUGUAUGAAGAAGGCCUUCGGGCUGUAAAGUACUUUCAGCGGGGAGGAAGGGAGUAAAGUUAAUACCUUUGCUCAUUGACGUUACCCGCAGAAGAAGCACCGGCUAACUCCGUGCCAGCAGCCGCGGUAAUACGGAGGGUGCAAGCGUUAAGCGGAAUUACUGGGCGUAAAGCGCACGCAGGCGGUUUGUUAAGUCAGAUGUGAAAUCCCCGGGCUCAACCUGGGAACUGCAUCUGAUACUGGCAAGCUUGAGUCUCGUAGAGGGGGGUAGAAUUCCAGGUGUAGCGGUGAAAUGCGUAGAGAUCUGGAGGAAUACCGGUGGCGAAGGCGGCCCCCUGGACGAAGACUGACGCUCAGGUGCGAAAGCGUGGGGAGCAAACAGGAUUAGAUACCCGGGUAGUC
RNAcentral lists this ribosomal RNA (464 nucleotides) under uncultured bacterium. RNAcentral's name for it is "partial 16S ribosomal RNA". It matches the Rfam family "Bacterial small subunit ribosomal RNA", at positions 339 to 795 of the family's 1533-position model. The record is from RNAcentral.